GCUACUUCCUCCCGCCCUGCCGCCCGCUACGCGGCCUUCGGGCGCCCCUUCCUCUGCUCAGGAUGGCGCUACACUUCGAAGCUCUGUUCAGCCCGCCGAUCUCAGGGAGUUAGGCAGCAAGCCCACGACCCAUCGGGCACCCCAGCCUGGCCUUCGAGGUUAUCGUGGUCCUAAAUAAAUGCAGGCCAGGUGCGAGAAGCCCGGUAGUUAGGUCUGCUCAUUCUCACCCCUGCAAUUCCGCUUUCAGCUGGAGGCCUUAGGCGAGUCAGCUGCCCAAACGUGGGAUCGGGGCUCCUGCUCCAGCGGCCCUACAGGGAUUUCGGGAAGUACCAUGUGCACCAGCGCCUUGGGACCAAGACUCAAUGGUGUGUUGUAGUCAUUAACAGUCGCCUUAAACAGUCGACGCCAGAGCCACCUGGCCCACCGCAGAAUUCCGUCAGCUCUUCAUACUGAGCUACUUGCCAAGCAGCCACAGAGGGGCGAUAGCAACAGGGGAAGGAGAGGUACUCCACAUUAGUUACCCAGGCGUGUACUUAGUUCCUGGAACAAGAUACAACGUCCUGAACACUAUGUUUUCCAGUCGCCCCGCUCACACACACAACCCUCCUCUUGGAGGGAGAAGUAAACCCAGAGGAAAGAGGAAGUCAGGCAGUUGGUCUAGAUGCGUCUCCAUACACUUGUCUAACAGUCCUUGUCCUCAGAGAAAAAUAAGACCUAGUUCCUGCCCUCAUAGAAUCUAGUAGAAAAGAAGAGAUGUUACAGAAAUAACCUCAAUGCCUAGCAGUAUGUGGUAAGUGCCAUUAAAGUGUGUGAACCAGGCCGGGCGCGGUGGUUCAAGCCUGUCGUCCCAGCACUUUGGGAGGCUGAGGCGGAAGGAUAGGUUCAGCCCAGGAGUUAGAGACCAACCUCGGCAACAUAGCGAAAUCCCGUCUCUACAAAAAAAUACAAAAAAUAGCCGGGCAGUGGCUCGCGUCUGUGGUCCCAGGUACUUGGGAGGCUGAGGUAGGAAGAUCCCUUGAGCCCAGGAGGUCGAGGUUGCAGUGAGUCGAGAUGGCGCCACUGCACUUGAGACUGGACGGCAAAGUGAGACCCUGUCUCAAAAAAAAAAAAAUAAAUACAAAUAAAGGGUGUGAACCGGCCGGGCGCGGUGGCUCACACCUGUAAUCCCAGCACUUUGGGAGGCCGAGGCAGGAGGAUCACCUGAGGUCGGGCAUUCGAGACCAGCCUGACCAACGUGGAGACCGAAAUGUCUUAAAAAAAAAAAAAAAAAAAGACCGGGCGUCCGGCGCGGUGGUUCAUGUUUGUAAUCCUAGGACUUUGGGAGGCCGAGGCGGGCAGAUCACGAGGUUAGGAGUUCGAGACCAGCGUGGCUAAUAUGGUGAAACCCCUUCUCUACUAAAAAUACAAAAAAAAAAAAAAAAAUUAGCCGUUAGUGGUGGCCCACACCUAGUCUCAGCUACU
Molecule: long non-coding RNA, 1461 nt
Filed under: Homo sapiens (human)
Lineage: Eukaryota; Metazoa; Chordata; Mammalia; Primates; Hominidae
Description: non-protein coding lnc-TCTA-4:1
Source: RNAcentral